UACGUAGGUGGCGAGCGUUGUCCGGAUUUAUUGGGCGUAAAGCGCGCGCAGGCGGUCGCGUAAGUCUGCUGUGAAAUCUCCCUGGCUCAACCGGGAGGGGGCGGCGGAGACUGCGGGACUGGAGGGACCUAGAGGCCGGUGGAAUUCCCGGUGUAGUGGUGAAAUGCGUAGAGAUCGGGAGGAACACCUGUGGCGAAAGCGGCUCACUGGACCACAACUGACGCUGAGGCGCGAAAGCUAGGGGAGCAAACAGG
This 254-nucleotide ribosomal RNA is filed under the name uncultured bacterium. Its description in RNAcentral is "partial 16S ribosomal RNA". It matches the Rfam family "Bacterial small subunit ribosomal RNA", at positions 524 to 776 of the family's 1533-position model. The record is from RNAcentral.